Molecule: ribosomal RNA, 381 nt
Filed under: uncultured Pseudomonadota bacterium
Lineage: Bacteria; Pseudomonadati; Pseudomonadota
Description: bacterial SSU rRNA
Rfam family: Bacterial small subunit ribosomal RNA
Source: RNAcentral
AGAUCUUCGGAUCUAGUGGCGCACGGGUGAGUAACGCGUGGGAACCUACCUUUUAGUUCGUAAUAACAGUUGGAAACGACUGCUAAUACCGUAUACGCCCUCCGGGGGAAAGGUCUGCCGCUGAAAGAGGGGCCCGCGUCUGAUUAGCUUGUUGGUAGGGUAAAAGCCUACCAAGGCUACGAUCAGUAGCUGGUCUGAGAGGAUGAUCAGCCACACUGGGACUGAGACACGGCCCAGACUCCUACGGGAGGCAGCAGUCGGGAAUAUUGGACAAUGGAGGAAACUCUGAUCCAGCAAUGCCGCGUGUGGAUGAAGGCCCUAGGGUUGUAAAGCACUUUCAACGGUGAAGAUGAUGACGGUAGCCGUAGAAGAAGCCCCGGC